Molecule: ribosomal RNA, 493 nt
Filed under: uncultured bacterium
Lineage: Bacteria
Description: bacterial SSU rRNA
Rfam family: Bacterial small subunit ribosomal RNA
Source: RNAcentral
UCAGGAUGAACGCUGGCGGCGUGCCUAAUACAUGCAAGUCGAGCGAGAAUGUCCGAUUGAAACUCGGUAGAUUCGGACAUGGAAAGCGGCGGACGGGUGAGUAACGCGUAGGCAACCUGCCCCUUGCACAGGGAUAGCCACUGGAAACGGUGAUUAAUACCUGAUAAUGCAGCUCCAUCGCCUGUUGGAGCUGCCAAAGAUUUAUGGCAAGGGAUGGGCCUGCGUCUGAUUAGCUUGUUGGUGGGGUAACGGCUCACCAAGGCGACGAUCAGUAGCCGACCUGAGAGGGUGAUCGGCCACAUUGGAACUGAGACACGGUCCAAACUCCUACGGGAGGCAGCAGUAGGGAAUCUUGCACAAUGGGCGAAAGCCUGAUGCCAGCAACGCCGCGUGAGCGAUGAAGGCCCUUGGGUCGUAAAGCUCUGUCCUAUGGGAAGAAACAAAUGACGGUACCAUUGGAGGAAGCCCCGGCUAACUACGUGCCAGCCGCCGC